GUCCUGCACUAUUUGUAAAUACCAAUUUUUCUUUAUCCAUUCAUACAGGACAUACAGGCUCUCAAGAUUUAGGUAUUAUGAAUUGUGCCUCUACAUACAUGGAUCACUGUAAUAUGAUGUCUGUAACAUUUUCUAGAAGAUUCCUAGAAACGGAACGACAUGGGAUUUAUCAAGCAAACUAUUAAGAAAUAACUGGACCUCUGGAGUCCCACCGAAAGGGAGACAGCCACAUCCUCCUCCUGGGGGGACAGGAACUCGUGUGUAUGUAGAAAAGAUGGCUCCACAGGUGCAGGGCUAAAGCAGCACUAGGCCUUGUGGAACUGCAAGGUCAGUCUUGUUGAAUGUGAAUCUGCUAUGGUCAUCUUUGGGGAGCUAAAGAUUUCCAUUUUUAGAUCCAGUUUCUGAAACUUAAAAGACUGUGUGAAAGCAGGCUCCAUGCAGGUGUAACCCCAGCACUCUAGGAGGGUGAGGCAAAAGGAUCGAAAGUUUGAGGCCAGCCUGGGCAACUUAGCAAGCCCUUGUCUCAAAAUAAAAAAAGGGUGAAGGUUGUCGGUUCAGUUCCCAGCACUGCAAAAUACCACAGCCAUCAGCAGCAGCAGCAGGAGCAGUGGCAGCAGCAUCCUGAGGGGAUAAUAGGACCUGGUCACUCAGCCCUUCAGCGGUCCUGAGAGACUCUACCUGCUCUCUGGUAGCUUGGAGUCAUGGUUACAGAACAAAGCCUGGGUGUGACCACAGGACAGAGACCAAUCUGGGUAAGGCUUGUAGAAAGAGCCUCCUCGGUUGGCAGAAAUGCUUCAUGGACUCACCUGGCCAACCAUGCCUUCCCUUGUUCUCCUUGAGCUCCCUCCUGCAAAAUGAGCUCCUUCAUAUAAGCAUCUUGGGGACUCAGGGUGCUGAAUUUCAUAAGCAUUCCGCUUAUGUCACAGGUAUGCAUUUCAUAUCUGUCAAGGUGCCGUAACAAGGUGCUGCAGAUGAUUAAAUUACAUUUUUAAA
Molecule: long non-coding RNA, 993 nt
Filed under: Chinchilla lanigera (long-tailed chinchilla)
Lineage: Eukaryota; Metazoa; Chordata; Mammalia; Rodentia; Chinchillidae
Description: lncRNA (ENSCLAG00000024379.1)
Source: RNAcentral